AUCGUGUCAAUAACUCCUAAAUAAGGGCUGAUUCACCGUAGGGAUGGUUUGGCUGGGCAGCCGGCUCUUGGAAGAGUCUUGGUGGUUCCAAACUUCUUCCAUUUAAGAAUGAUGGAAGCCACUGUGUUCUUGGGUACCUUCAAUGCUGCAGAAAUGUUUUGGUGCCUUUCCCCACAUCUGUGCCUCGACACAAUCCUGUCUCGGAGCUCUAGGGACAAUUCCUUCGACCUCAUGGCUUGGUUUAUGCUCUGACGUGCACUGUCAACUGUGGAACCUUACGUAGACAGACAGCUGUGUGCCUUUCCAAAUCAUGACCAAUCAAUUGAAUUUACCACAGGUGGACUCCAAUCAAGUUGUAGAAACAUCUCAAGGAUGAUCAAUGGAAACAGGAUGGACCUGAGCUCAACUUCCAGCCUCAUAGCAAAGGGUCUGAAAACGUGGACUCCAAUCAAGUUGUAGAAACAUCUCAAGGAUGAUCAAUGGAAACAGGAUGGACCUGAGCUCAAUUUCCAGCCUCAUAGCAAAGGGUCUGAAAACGUGGACUCCAAUCAAGUUGUAGAAACAUCUCAAGGAUGAUCAAUGGAAACAGGAUGGACCUGAGCUCAAUUUCCAGCCUCAUAGCAAAGGGUCUGAAAACGUGGACUCCAAUCAAGUUGUAGAAACAUCUCAAGGAUGAUCAAUGGAAACAGGAUGGACCUGAGCUCAAUUUCCAGCCUCAUAGCAAAGGGUCUGAAAACGUGGACUCCAAUCAAGUUGUAGAAACAUCUCAAGGAUGAUCAAUGGAAACAGGAUGGACCUGAGCUCAAUUUCCAGCCUCAUAGCAAAGGGUCUGAAAACGUGGACUCCAAUCAAGUUGUAGAAACAUCUCAAGGAUGAUCAAUGGAAACAGGAUGGACCUGAGCUCAAUUUCCAGCCUCAUAGCAAAGGGUCUGAAAACGUGGACUCCAAUCAAGUUGUAGAAACAUCUCAAGGAUGAUCAAUGGAAACAGGAUGGACCUGAGCUCAAUUUCCAGCCUCAUAGCAAAGGGUCUGAAAACGUGGACUCCAAUCAAGUUGUAGAAACAUCUCAAGGAUGAUCAAUGGAAACAGGAUGGACCUGAGCUCAAUUUCCAGCCUCAUAGCAAAGGGUCUGAAAACGUGGACUCCAAUCAAGUUGUAGAAACAUCUCAAGGAUGAUCAAUGGAAACAGGAUGGACCUGAGCUCAAUUUCCAGCCUCAUAGCAAAGGGUCUGAAAACGUAUGUAAAUAAGGUAUUUUUUAAAUAUUUUUUUAUGAAUAAAAACUAUAUGUUA
This is a long non-coding RNA of Salvelinus fontinalis (brook trout), 1292 nucleotides long. RefSeq lists it as uncharacterized. The transcript has 9 exons. Lineage: Eukaryota; Metazoa; Chordata; Actinopteri; Salmoniformes; Salmonidae. The record is from RefSeq and is a predicted model, not a curated record.